AUGGCCGCCCUCCUACCUUGCGCCCGCGUCGCUCUGGCGCCGUCCGUCUCCGUCGCCGGCAGCAUUGGCAGCUCGUCGCUGCGCUGGACCCUGCCCGUCCCCUCGCUGCGCCGGCGCGGCAGCCCGACGCUCAAGCACGUGGUACGCGCCAGCAAGGGCGCCGCGGAUCAGCCCGACCCGCCCGCAGACCCGGAGGGGGACGGCGGCGACGAGGAGGAAAACCCCAAGAUGGUGAACGCCGAAGAGAUUUAUGCAGAACUCGAGAAGUUCAAAGAGGAGUAUGCAGCAAAGAAGGGUCUUCCUUACAAAAAAAGAGAUAUGACUGAUGAGAUGUUCUACAACGAGAAGUGGAAAAUAUAUAAGUAUAUUCGGGAGAUGAUUUCUUCCAAUCCAAGCAUUUUGCAUGUGGAAACCGCCCUGUCUCAGGAACUGUGCAUCCAGGCUGGUGACGCUCUGGAUUUGGCUAAAAAUAUCGUGUAUAGUGCAUCUUACAGGCUCAAGCGGCCAAGUGAAAUUUCCGUGAAUACAACGGAGCAGAUGGUUCGGAUCUAUGCUUCCACCUUCAUGAAAACCGCCGAGGACGUCUACCAUGGGAAGACCAACACGGCAACCCUCUGUUAUUAUCUCGACGCUCUCGGAGGUUUGGCUGCGAUCAGCCACAUCUUAUUCGUCGACACUCUAGACGCCGUAAACGAUGUACUGCUCGAAGACGGUAAACCGAAGCACAGCCCCGACGUCGACGCAGAGGCUGCUUACCGCAGGUUUGAGCAGAAACUGUCUCUUCCGGAGCGGAAGAUUCUGGAGCAGAUAGUCUGCCCUGCGACGAAGCACACGAGGCAGUUCAUUGCACAGAUGAUUCGGCUGCGCAAGGAUGCGCUGAACCAAGUCCCAGGCUCUGGAAUCGGAAAGGGAAGGGGUGAUUGCGCCGGGGCAAGGGAGAUGAAGGAAUGGUAA
This 954-nucleotide ribosomal RNA is filed under the name Triticum aestivum (bread wheat). RNAcentral describes it as "partial small subunit ribosomal RNA". The record is from RNAcentral. Lineage: Eukaryota; Viridiplantae; Streptophyta; Magnoliopsida; Poales; Poaceae.